Molecule: ribosomal RNA, 301 nt
Filed under: uncultured bacterium
Lineage: Bacteria
Description: partial 16S ribosomal RNA
Rfam family: Bacterial small subunit ribosomal RNA
Source: RNAcentral
CAGCCGCCACGGGAAUACGAAGGGGGCUAGCGUUGUUCGGAUUUACUGGGCGUAAAGGGCGCGUAGGCGGACUGAUAAGUCAGGGGUGAAAUCCCAAGGCUCAACCUUGGAACUGCCUUUGAUACUGUUUGUCUUGAGUUCGAGAGAGGUAAGUGGAACUGCGAGUGUAGAGGUGAAAUUCGUAGAUAUUCGCAAGAACACCAGUGGCGAAGGCGGCUUACUGGCUCGAAACUGACGCUGAGGCGCGAAAGCGUGGGGAGCAAACAGGAUUAGAUACCCGAGUAGUCCCUGUCUCUUAUAU